UUCCCAGUGGCGCAAUAUGUAAGCGCACGGUGCUUGUAAUGCCGGAGUUGUGAGUUCGAGUCUCGCCUGGGGAA
Molecule: non-coding RNA, 74 nt
Organism: Dryococelus australis
Lineage: Eukaryota; Metazoa; Arthropoda; Insecta; Phasmatodea; Phasmatidae
Source: the annotation of a GenBank genome assembly